This 434-nucleotide ribosomal RNA is filed under the name uncultured Escherichia sp. RNAcentral describes it as "bacterial SSU rRNA". It matches the Rfam family "Bacterial small subunit ribosomal RNA", at positions 958 to 1392 of the family's 1533-position model. Lineage: Bacteria; Pseudomonadati; Pseudomonadota; Gammaproteobacteria; Enterobacterales; Enterobacteriaceae. The record is from RNAcentral.
AACGCGAAGAACCUUACCUGGUCUUGACAUCCACGGAAGUUUUCAGAGAUGAGAAUGUGCCUUCGGGAACCGUGAGACAGGUGCUGCAUGGCUGUCGUCAGCUCGUGUUGUGAAAUGUUGGGUUAAGUCCCGCAGCGAGCGCAACCCUUAUCCUUUGUUGCCAGCGGUCCGGCCGGGAACUCAAAGGAGACUGCCAGUGAUAAACUGGAGGAAGGUGGGGAUGACGUCAAGUCAUCAUGGCCCUUACGACCAGGGCUACACACGUGCUACAAUGGCGCAUACAAAGAGAAGCGACCUCGCGAGAGCAAGCGGACCUCAUAAAGUGCGUCGUAGUCCGGAUUGGAGUCUGCAACUCGACUCCAUGAAGUCGGAAUCGUUAGUAAUCGUGGAUCAGAAUGCCACGGUGAAUACGUUCCCGGGUCUUGUACACACCG